CCGAAGGCUGGCUCCAGGACAGGGUGAGAUGGGGGUGGGAGAUUGGGCCACAGGGAAAAGAAACGAUCAGGGGAAGCCGGGUGCCCCUUCAGCACUGCUGCCCACCUGGUGUGGUGGCUUAGCGCUCCCUCUCCCCGCAGACACGCGCUCCUUCUGGGGCCCCUUCCUCACACGCUGGUACCCGUCUUCCUGAGCUCAGCUUCUGGGGAGGGCAGCUGGCAGGCCGGGGACAGCCCUCCCUUGGGAAGCAGAACUUGCAGCUCAGGUGAGUCCCACCACAGUCUCCUGCCAGAACGGAUGCACUGCCUGGGCCUGGAGGAGCAGAGGCAGCAGCUCCCGGCGAGGGAGGAGCAAACGCCAAGGCCCGGUGGGGCCAGAGGACCGGUCGGCUGACGGGAUGGUGGUCCUUGCUCAGAGGGAGAAAGAGACGGGCAGGAAA
RNAcentral lists this long non-coding RNA (439 nucleotides) under Homo sapiens (human). Its description in RNAcentral is "HSALNT0050010". Lineage: Eukaryota; Metazoa; Chordata; Mammalia; Primates; Hominidae. The record is from RNAcentral.